RNAcentral lists this ribosomal RNA (776 nucleotides) under uncultured bacterium. RNAcentral's name for it is "bacterial SSU rRNA". It matches the Rfam family "Bacterial small subunit ribosomal RNA", at positions 8 to 796 of the family's 1533-position model. The record is from RNAcentral.
AGAGUUUGAUCCUGGCUCAGGACGAACGCUGGCGGCGUGCUUAACACAUGCAAGUCUACGAGAAAAGAGUAGCAAUAUUCUGAGUAAAGUGGCGCAAGGGUGCGUAACUCGUAAGCAAUCUACCUUUAGAAGGGGAAUAACCCAGCGAAAGCCGGACUAAUACCCCAUAAUGCAGCGGAACCGCAUGGUUAUGUUGUUAAAGUCUAUAUGACGUCUAGAGAUGAGCUUGCGUCUGAUUAGCUAGUUGGUGAGGUAACGGCUCACCAAGGCGACGAUCAAUAGCCGACCUGAGAGGGUGAUCGGCCACACUGGAACUGAGACACGGUCCAGACUCCUACGGGAGGCAGCAGUGGGGAAUAUUGCACAAUGGGCGCAAGCCUGAUGCAGCAACGCCGCGUGAGUGAUGAAGGCCUUCGGGUCGUAAAACUCUGUCCUAUGGGAAGAAAAAAAUGACGGUACCAUAGGAGGAAGCCCCGGCUAACUACGUGCCAGCAGCCGCGGUAAUACGUAGGGGGCAAGCGUUAUCCGGAAUCACUGGGCGUAAAGGGUGCGUAGGUGGCUCAUCAAGCCAGAGGUGAAAGGCAUUGGCUCAACCAAUGUAAGCCUUUGGAACUGACGAGCUUGAGUGCAGGAGAGGUAAGUGGAAUUCCUAGUGUAGAGGUGAAAUUCGUAGAUAUUAGGAGGAACACCAGUGGCGAAGGCGACUUACUGGACUGUAACUGACACUGAGGCACGAAAGCGUGGGGAGCGAACAGGAUUAGAUACCCUGGUAGUCC